This 464-nucleotide ribosomal RNA is filed under the name uncultured bacterium. RNAcentral describes it as "partial 16S ribosomal RNA". It matches the Rfam family "Bacterial small subunit ribosomal RNA", at positions 339 to 795 of the family's 1533-position model. The record is from RNAcentral.
CUACGGGUGGCAGCAGUAGGGAAUUUUCGGCAAUGGGCGAAAGCCUGACCGAGCAAUGCCGCGUGAACGAUGAAGGCCUUCGGGUUGUAAAGUUCUGUUAUCAGGGAAGAACAUACGGAUUAGGAAAUGACUCCGUACUGACGGUACCUGAUCAGAAAGCUCCGGCUAACUACGUGCCAGCAGCCGCGGUAAUACGUAGGGAGCAAGCGUUAUCCGGAAUUAUUGGGCGUAAAGCGUGCGUAGGCGGUUCGUUAAGUCAAAUCUGAAAGCCCACAGCUUAACUGUGGAGGGCGAUUUGAAACUGGCGAACUUGAGUACGGCAGAGGUUAGUGGAAUUCAAUGUGUAGCGGUGGAAUGCGUAGAUAUAUUGAGGAACACCAGUGGCGAAGGCGGCUAACUGGACCGGAACUGACGCUGAGGCACGAAAGCGUGGGGAGCAAACAGGAUUAGAUACCCUGGUAGUC